This 1136-nucleotide long non-coding RNA is filed under the name Pogona vitticeps (central bearded dragon). RNAcentral's name for it is "lncRNA (ENSPVIG00000021665.1)". The record is from RNAcentral. Lineage: Eukaryota; Metazoa; Chordata; Lepidosauria; Squamata; Agamidae.
CAGACUACGGCACCGUAUCUUCCAAUCGUUUUCUCUUUUUCGACCGGUUCCUGUCCUUCUGGGUUUCAACCACCUCCAGAGAGUGCACACAAAUUCUCACGCACGCUUGUACAUUCACCUUAGGGCAGUAGCCCCGGUGGUAAUGAAUGAUAGGGGGUGGGUUAAAGAGAGGGUUUAACUGCCUCUUACUCUCCCUGCUCCCUGCUCAGACCUCACCUUAGCAACCCCCCUGGAGCCUGCAUUUUUAACCACCAUGAAGAUCGUGAUCCUAAUCCUCGCGUCAAUGCUCUUUGCAGGAUCCCAUCCUUUUGUUAUCAGAGAAGCUCCGGAGCCAGAUUCCAAGCUGGACGUAGUACUUGACGGAUGGCAGCUAUACCGGCGAGAUGUCCAGCAUUUGACAGACAAAAUACUGUUCGUGGUCUCAAGAUCGAACACUAGCGUCGCUUUUUUAGAUACGACAUUCAGAAUCACCCGCUACUUGAAUACCCUUCACGAGGAGAUACCCCCAGAGAUCAAAGAAUUACUUGAUGUGAUGGUUGGAGUACCAUUAAGUAUUAUGGACAAAGCAGUGACAGCUUUCUAUGACCUCAGGCGCAAGCAAGACAUGGCCGAGCCACUGAAAUCUGUCGUGUCAUAUUAUUCUGAUCCAAUCCUAGAGAGAGUGGGUCCAUGGUUAGAGUCCCUCCAACGUACCCUCAGGGCCCGGAUUCAAGAACUAGAACACAGGUUGGACAAGAUGAAGCCACAGUUCGAAACCCUGGAUACUCAGCUGUCCUUUUACCUCCAGAAGCUGGAAGACACUCAUGCGUCCCUCGAACCGGUCGCCAACGAAGUGCGGACACGCUUCAGGCAAAUGGUGGAGGCUCUCCACAAGAACCUGAAGCCUUACAUGAUGCCCAUUCUGGAGGAGAGCCGAAAAUAUGCAAGGGAGUUUAAGGAGUGGGUUCGCACCCCUGUAUUUCCCCCAAAUCCAUGAUUCCCCCCCCAAAAAAAAGUAACCAAGGAAUGGUGCAUCAUUGAUCUCUAUAGAAAAUCUGUGUGAAAAGUUCAUUAACAUAAUCUAGAUGGUGGGGAUUUGUAACCCUUCCUCCAGUGGAUGUAAUAAAAACCUCUCUUUUAGGUUGUGUUUCUCGUUC